UGCAAUUAGGCAAAUUAGUUGCAACUUCGGCGCUUAUUGAUUGCUGCAAUUCAGAAUAGUCGCAACUUCCGCCCUCUGAGAUUGCUGCAAUUAGCUAGAAACCUUAAUACUCGAUCAAUCAUCUUCUCAACCCACCAGUCCUCAAUGUACGGUAGAUCUAGAAUUCCAAAAACAAUAACCCAGAGAAAGAGCUAGGUUUUCGAAUCUCCACAGCCAAUUUCUGCUCCCUUCUACACCGCCUGCUACCGCACUGCGGCUACUGCACCGCACCGCCUGUAACAAUCGAUUGAGGACUCUCCUUCGCCGGCUACCGCAACGCACCGCCUGUAACAAUCGAUUGAGGACUCUCUUUUUCCGGCUACCACACCGCACCGCCUGCUACCGCACCACCUGUAACAUUGGAAAAGGUUGUCUGUUCUUUUUCAACUCCCACCGCCAAGUAAAACCCAAGUUGCAGAAAAGUGGAGGGAGAAAGACGAAUUUAUCUGGGCUCUCCGGUAUCUUCGGUUCAAGCAACUGCAAUUGGUGGGGGAUUUCACCACCACUUUCUCACCCGUGCAAUUACGGUUGCUUUAACCUUUGUCUUUACUCUUUCCGUUAAAGAAAGUUCAAGUGUAGUCUUAUCAGCAACUUUUUGGACUUGAUUCAGAGCAUUUUUGGACCCAUUGGUGAGCUCGUAGAAGGGUUAUGUACAAAGAGAAAUGCCAUACUCUAAUGAGGAGUUAGAAGAAACUCGAGAACAUUGGGCAAAAUAUUUUAAGGACAACUAUUUGAUGGAUGCCGGCGAAUGAGUUUGUUGUCUAGUAAUGUUAUGUUUUAUGUUUUUGUUAUGUGUUGGAUAUGACGUUUGCUACUUGGAGCAUAUAUAUGGUUUUUGGAACAUAUAUGUAUGUUAUGUCUUAUAUACAGGUCUUUAUAAAUUCCCGUUUUGUUCGGGUUUCGCAAAUUACAAGGGAAACUAUGGCAAAUUUUUUGCAACCUAUUAAACUAUUUAUAAUGUUUUUAUUAUAA
Molecule: long non-coding RNA, 1011 nt
Organism: Spinacia oleracea (spinach)
Lineage: Eukaryota; Viridiplantae; Streptophyta; Magnoliopsida; Caryophyllales; Amaranthaceae
Exons: 3
Source: RefSeq, a predicted model, not a curated record